UGCGGGGGGGGCAAGCGUUGUUCGGAAUUACUGGGCGUAAAGGGCUCGUAGGCGGCCAACUAAGUCGGAUGUGAAAUCCCCAAGCUUAACUUGGGAACUGCAUCCGAUACUGGAUGGCUUGAAUCCGGGAGAGGGAUGCAGAAUUCCAGGUGUAGCGGUGAAAUGCGUAGAUAUCUGGAGGAAUACCGGUGGCGAAGGCGGCAUCCUGGACCGGCAUUGACGCUGAGGAGCGAAAGCUAGGGGAGCAAACAGG
This 253-nucleotide ribosomal RNA is filed under the name uncultured bacterium. RNAcentral's name for it is "partial 16S ribosomal RNA". It matches the Rfam family "Bacterial small subunit ribosomal RNA", at positions 524 to 776 of the family's 1533-position model. The record is from RNAcentral.